GUGGGGCGCCUAAUCUGCAGUCGACGCUUUGAUUUUCCCGGAGCUUGCUCCACCGAAAAUCAAAGAGUGGCGGACGGGUGAGUAACACGUGGGCAACCUGCCCAUCAUAGGGGGAUAACACUUGGAAACAGGUGCUAAUACCGCAUAAUUUGUUUUCCCGCAUGGGAGAAUAAUAAAAGACGCUUCUGUGUCACUGUGGGAUGGGCCCGCGCUGCAUUAAAUAGUUGGUGGGGGAAAGGACUACCAAGACCGCGAUGAAUAUCCGACCUGAGAGGGUGAUCGGCCACACUGGGACUGAGACACGGGCCACACUCCUACGGGAGGCAGCAGAAGGGAAUCUUCUCUAAUGGACGAAAGUCUGACCGAGCAACACCGCGUGAGUGAAGAAAGUUUUUUGAUCGUAAAACUCUGUUGUUAGAGAAGAACAAGUGGGAGAGUAACUGUUCUCACCUUGACGGUAUCUAACCAGAAAGCCACGGCUAACUACGUGCCAGCAGCCGCGGUAAUACGUAGGUGGCAAGCGUUGUCCGGAUUUAUUGGGCGUAAAGCGAGCGCAGGCGGUUUCUUAAGUCUGAUGUGAAAGCCCUCGGCUCAACCGAGGAAGGUCAUUGGAAACUGGGGAACUUGAAUGCAGAAGAGGAGAGUGGAAUUCCAUGUGUAGCGGUGAAAUGCGUAGAUAUAUGGAGGAACACCAGUGGCGAAGGCGACUCUCUGGUCUGUAAUUGACGCUGAGGCUCGAAAGCGUGGGGAGCAAACAGGAUUAGAUACCCUGGUAGUCCACGCCGUAAACGAUGAGUGCUAAGUGUUGGAGGGUUCCGCCCUUCAGUGCUGCAGUUAACGCAUAAGCACACCGCUGGAUGCCA
This 863-nucleotide ribosomal RNA is filed under the name Vagococcus fluvialis. Its description in RNAcentral is "bacterial SSU rRNA". It matches the Rfam family "Bacterial small subunit ribosomal RNA", at positions 39 to 873 of the family's 1533-position model. Lineage: Bacteria; Bacillati; Bacillota; Bacilli; Lactobacillales; Enterococcaceae. The record is from RNAcentral.